Molecule: long non-coding RNA, 304 nt
Filed under: Lathyrus oleraceus (garden pea)
Lineage: Eukaryota; Viridiplantae; Streptophyta; Magnoliopsida; Fabales; Fabaceae
Description: Pisum sativum (pea) long non-coding RNA (PSAT_LNC041642)
Source: RNAcentral
AUUUACAAGAAAAAUGCAAAUAAAAUUGAAUUUUAACCAAUUGUUGACUUUGGUCAACAGUUGACUUUUUGGUCAACUUUGACCAAAGUCAACCCUAUGCCAUUGGUCAUCCUUAAUCACUAAAUGACUAGUCCUAACUCUCAUGACAUUAUCCAUGUCCAUGUGAUCUUUGGUUUAACCACUUGUGCUUGGCUUCUUCACUUUAAUGUCAACAUGGUCACACCUUGAACCUUUGGAAUCUUGCUUUGCCAAUUAACUUCCAUCAUACUGCAUUUGCCCUGCUAUACCAACCUGCUGCAACGCC